UGUUCUGUGGCUUAGUUGGUUAAAGUUCCGUUCUAGUGAAUACGGAGUCGUGGGUUCGAAUCUCACCAGAUUGA
Molecule: non-coding RNA, 74 nt
Organism: Aedes albopictus (Asian tiger mosquito)
Lineage: Eukaryota; Metazoa; Arthropoda; Insecta; Diptera; Culicidae
Source: Rfam